CGUUAUGAGAGGCGGCAGGAACAAAGAACAAGAACCGCUGGCUGGCUCGUGUAAAUACCGGCAACUUCCGAGGCUCUUGUGCUCGGUCUACUGCGACAUCGACAUCGCGGGCCAGGGAGGAAGGGGGCCUGGCAGCCUCGCGGGGUCGGGCCCUGGGCUUCUCCCAGCACAGCGCCGGAACCCUGGCUCCUGCGGUCACGCGACGCCAAGAAUAUCAGGGAGGACAGGGACCAUGAGUCAGGAAAACCAAGCCAGAAACAUGAAAGGAAGUGUGUGGCCCAGCACGGGACUCAGAAUGACCCAGAAAACCCGCCAAGCUCUGAGCCCCAUGACGGACGCUCCCUCCCUGCCUCCCUCACCCGCGACCUGUCGCCCAGGGCCUCGGAGGCCCGGCUCACCCUCCAGCCCCGCCCUGCCCAGCCCAGCUCUCCAGGAGGAGAAUUAGACCUGGCCUGCCUCGGGCUCCGCGC
RNAcentral lists this long non-coding RNA (470 nucleotides) under Heterocephalus glaber (naked mole-rat). RNAcentral's name for it is "lncRNA (ENSHGLG00000042344.1)". The record is from RNAcentral. Lineage: Eukaryota; Metazoa; Chordata; Mammalia; Rodentia; Bathyergidae.